This 372-nucleotide ribosomal RNA is filed under the name uncultured cyanobacterium. RNAcentral describes it as "bacterial SSU rRNA". It matches the Rfam family "Bacterial small subunit ribosomal RNA", at positions 356 to 743 of the family's 1533-position model. Lineage: Bacteria; Bacillati; Cyanobacteriota. The record is from RNAcentral.
GGGGAAUUUUCCGCAAUGGGCGAAAGCCUGACGGAGCAAUACCGCGUGUGGGAGGAAGGCCCUUGGGUCGUAAACCACUUUUCUUAGGGAAGAAUAACUGACGGUACCUAAGGAAUAAGCCUCGGCUAACUCCGUGCCAGCAGCCGCGGUAAUACGGAGGAGGCAAGCGUUAUCCGGAAUUAUUGGGCGUAAAGAGUCCGUAGGUGGUCAUUCAAGUCUGCUGUUAAAGACAGAAGCUCAACUUCUGAUAGGCAGUGGAAACUGAAAGACUAGAGUAUGGUAGGGGUAGAGGGAAUUCCCAGUGUAGCGGUGAAAUGCGUAGAGAUUGGGAAGAACACCGGUGGCGAAAGCGCUCUACUGGGCCAAAACUGU